This 467-nucleotide ribosomal RNA is filed under the name uncultured bacterium. RNAcentral's name for it is "partial 16S ribosomal RNA". It matches the Rfam family "Bacterial small subunit ribosomal RNA", at positions 28 to 507 of the family's 1533-position model. The record is from RNAcentral.
GAUGAACGCUGGCGGCGUGCUUAACACAUGCAAGUCGAACGGAAAGGCCCAAGCUUGCUUGGGUACUCGAGUGGCGAACGGGUGAGUAACACGUGGGUGAUCUGCCCUGCACUUCGGGAUAAGCCUGGGAAACUGGGUCUAAUACCGGAUAGGACCACUUCUUGGAUGUUGUGGUGGAAAGUUUUUUCGGUGUGGGAUGAGCUCGCGGCCUAUCAGCUUGUUGGUGGGGUAAUGGCCUACCAAGGCGUCGACGGGUAGCCGGCCUGAGAGGGUGUACGGCCACAUUGGGACUGAGAUCCGGCCCAGACUCCUACGGGAGGCAGCAGGGGGGAAUAUUGCACAAUGGGCGCAAGCCUGAUGCAGCGACGCCGCGUGGGGGAUGACGGCCUUCGGGUUGUAAACUCCUUUCGCUAGGGACGAAGCGUUUUGUGACGGUACCUGGAGAAGAAGCACCGGCUAACUACGUG